RNAcentral lists this ribosomal RNA (496 nucleotides) under uncultured bacterium. Its description in RNAcentral is "partial 16S ribosomal RNA". It matches the Rfam family "Bacterial small subunit ribosomal RNA", at positions 29 to 507 of the family's 1533-position model. The record is from RNAcentral.
ACGAACGCUGGCGGCGUGCCUAAUACCUGCAAGUUGAGCGCUGAAGGUUGGUACUUGUACCAACUGGAUGAGCAGCGAACGGGUGAGUAACGCGUGGGGAAUCUGCCUUUGAGCGGGGGACAACAUUUGGAAACGAAUGCUAAUACCGCAUAAAAACUUUAAACACAAGUUUUAAGUUUGAAAGAUGCAAUUGCAUCACUCAAAGAUGAUCCCGCGUUGUAUUAGCUAGUUGGUGAGGUAAAGGCUCACCAAGGCGAUGAUACAUAGCCGACCUGAGAGGGUGAUCGGCCACAUUGGGACUGAGACACGGCCCAAACUCCUACGGGAGGCAGCAGUAGGGAAUCUUCGGCAAUGGACGAAAGUCUGACCGAGCAACGCCGCGUGAGUGAAGAAGGGUUUCGGAUCGUAAAACUCUGUUGGUAGAGAAGAACGUUGGUGAGAGUGGAAAGCUCAUCAAGUGACGGUAACUACCCAGAAAGGGACGGCUAACUACGUG